CUCAGUCUGGUGUGGCACUUGUGCGGGGAAGCAACUGGGCACUUUUUUCCUUCAUCGGGACUACGACACUGCCAUUUCUAGCACUUUCUUGGUCCUUCGUCCGCGAUCUCAACCUCGAAGGACCAUCGGAGCGCAGAUUGGCGCAGUCGCAAGAAUUAACUAGAAAGGAAGGAGUGGCAGGAGAAGAAAACAGUGAAGUGAAAUAAAAAAGAAAAAUAAAGUAAUAUUAUGAAGAUGAAAUAACAAAAAAACGACACAACGCAUGUAUAAAGAAAGAAAAGAGAGAACACAAGACUCGAAAUUCUUCACAACAAACAAAAGAGCAGAGUCGAUGAAGUUCUAACCGCGUGUCUAAAGGAUCGAAACCUAUUCCCCCCAAAAUACCUUCCACCAUGAAGAUCCUAAUCCUCACGACCUUUUUCGUCAUCAGUUGUUGCAUGUUGCGAAGCCAUGCACUUCCGAAUCAGAUCGUUAUCGGCGGAAUAUUCGACGAGAAGGACAAGCUGCUCGAACUGGCCUUCCGCUAUGCCGUCGAGCGCAUCAACAACGACCGGUCGACUCUCACGCACUCGACCCUCGUGGCUCAGCCGGUCUGGCUCCC
This is a long non-coding RNA of Penaeus chinensis, 601 nucleotides long. RefSeq lists it as uncharacterized. Lineage: Eukaryota; Metazoa; Arthropoda; Malacostraca; Decapoda; Penaeidae. The transcript is spliced from 3 exons. The record is from RefSeq and is a predicted model, not a curated record.